AUGGCGAUCAAGCUUAUAGCAGUAGCGUUUUUCUUGCUUGUCCUGGCCUUUGCUGAGUCCAGCGAUAGGGGUGAACCUCCAUCAUCUCAAGAAAAUGCUUUUGGUGCGAGUGCUUAUGCGGUUCAUUGGGAUCCAGAUCAUGCGCAUUCUGAAGAAAACGGUUUUGGUGAAAGUGCUUAUGCGGUGCAUUGGGAUCCUCCUUCUCAAAAAGACAACUUUGGUGAAAGUGCGUAUGCGGUACAUUGGGAUCCCCCUUCAAAAGAAAAAGGUUUUGGGGCAAGUGCUUAUAAGGUGGACUGGAACCCACCUUCGAAAGAAGAAGGUUUUGGGGCAAGUGCUUAUAAGGUGGACUGGAACCCACCUUCGAAAGAAAAAGGUUUUGGGGCAAGUGCUUAUAAGGUGGAUUGGAACCCAGAAGAUACACAUUCCAAAGAAAAAGGUUUCGGCGAAAGUGCUUACAAGGUGACUUGGAGCCCAGAAGAUGCACAUUUCGGUUUUGGGGCAAGCGCUUAUAAGGUCUCUUGGAGUCCAGAUGGUGCACCUUCUGAGAAAGGAUUUGGUUCAAGUGCUUAUGCGGUACAUUGGGAUCCAGAUCAUCCACCUUCUGAAAAAACCGGUUUUGAUGCAAGUGCUUACGCGGGACAUCGGGAUCCAAAUCAUGCACACUCUCCUUCCUCCAUUCCUGAAGCACCAACAAAACACAAGCAUAUAAAAGUUCAAACCGGCAUGUUAUUCCUGAAGAAGAAUCUGCACAUCGGCACUACACUUCCUAAAGGAACCAUGUUUGCACGAGACGGUGCACCAAAGUCUGUUCAUUUUGCCUCUACUCCAUUGGAGUCAAAGUACUUGGCAACCAUCCUUUCAUAUUUCAUGAUACCUCAUGGCUCGACCAAGGCAAAGCAGGUAGCUGACACCCUUCGUUCAUGCGGCAAACCGGUUGACAAGGAGGAUCCUCACAUGUGCUUCUCAUCCCGUGAAGCAAUGUCAAGGUUCGCCACCAGAGAAUUAGGGGUCAGCGGCGCACGAGCAGCCAUUACAAGGAUUCAUGGGAAUGAGACCCCCAGCUCCAUGUACGUUGUGGAACAGAUCACCCAACUCAACAAUAACGUGGUGCCAUGCCAUCCUAUGGAUUUUCCGUAUGAGGUAUUUUAUUGCCAUCGGCCGAAAGAGGUGCAGUCUCUGGGGGUGCAAAUCAAGGGUUUGAAAGAUGGCAUGCCGCGCGUGACGGCAAUAGCCAUGUGUCACAUGAACACAUCUAAUUGGGACACCCAGUACUUUGAGCUAUUAGACGGAAAGCGUGGUGAACCUAUUUGCCACUACAUGCCUACCAAUUACAUCAUGUUUUAUUAG
RNAcentral lists this ribosomal RNA (1350 nucleotides) under Triticum aestivum (bread wheat). Its description in RNAcentral is "partial small subunit ribosomal RNA". Lineage: Eukaryota; Viridiplantae; Streptophyta; Magnoliopsida; Poales; Poaceae. The record is from RNAcentral.